ACGAACGCUGGCGGCGUGCUUAACACAUGCAAGUCGAACGGAAAGGCCCUGCUUUUGUGGGGUGCUCGAGUGGCGAACGGGUGAGUAACACGUGAGUAACCUGCCCUUGACUUUGGGAUAACUUCAGGAAACUGGGGCUAAUACCGGAUAGGAGCUCCUGCUGCCUGGUGGGGGUUGGAAAGUUUCGGCGGUUGGGGAUGGACUCGCGGCUUAUCAGCUUGUUGGUGGGGUAGCGGCUUACCAAGGCUUUGACGGGUAGCCGGCCUGAGAGGGUGACCGGCCACAUUGGGACUGAGAUACGGCCCAGACUCCUACGGGAGGCAGCAGUGGGGAAUAUUGCACAAUGGGCGGAAGCCUGAUGCAGCAACGCCACGUGCGGGAUGACGGCCUUCGGGUUGUAAACCGCUUUCGCCUGUGACGAAGCGUGAGUGACGGUAAUGGGUAAAGAAGCACCGGCUAACUACGUG
RNAcentral lists this ribosomal RNA (467 nucleotides) under uncultured bacterium. RNAcentral describes it as "partial 16S ribosomal RNA". It matches the Rfam family "Bacterial small subunit ribosomal RNA", at positions 29 to 507 of the family's 1533-position model. The record is from RNAcentral.